RNAcentral lists this long non-coding RNA (422 nucleotides) under Homo sapiens (human). RNAcentral's name for it is "HSALNT0218855". Lineage: Eukaryota; Metazoa; Chordata; Mammalia; Primates; Hominidae. The record is from RNAcentral.
AUACCAAGCAUACCACAAAUACGAAUUGUGUCCGCUGCUCUAAUAUCACAAUCCCAAGGAGAACUGCAGACAUUUGUCCUCGAGUUCCUCAGGUUGCCAGUAAUGAUGUUUCUGGUGAUCUGGCUCAGAAGGCUGAGCUGAUGAGUGAUCACUCAGAAAUACUGAAUCAGGCAAUGGAAAUUCUGAAUCGGUGGGCUCUGGAGAAGGAACUGAGGGCGAGGUGACUCGGGGCCGGAGGGCUAUUAUGGACUAUGGACAAGCUGAAGGCAUGGGAAGCCUGACCAGUAGAUAGAGGAAUAUGAACUUGGUGGACAGGGAAAAGCAGGGACGUCAUGAACGAAAGACCACAGACCCUCUGUUCUAGUCCAUGGGGCCAGGCUGUGCUCCACUGCCUACUCUUGGAUUCCCCAAAGAAUGCUUUA